ACUCCCCAGGCGGAUAACUUAAUGCGUUAGCUGCGCCACCGAAACUCUAAGAGCCCCGACAGCUAGUUAUCAUCGUUUACGGCGUGGACUACCAGGGUAUCUAAUCCUGUUUGCUCCCCACGCUUUCGCACUUCAGCGUCAAUACCAGUCCAGUGAGCCGCCUUCGCCACUGGUGUUCUUCCGAAUAUCUACGAAUUUCACCUCUACACUCGGAAUUCCACUCACCUCUCCUGGAUUCAAGCGAUGCAGUCUCAAAGGCAGUACUGGAGUUGAGCUCCAGGCUUUCACCUCUGACUUACAAAGCCGCCUACGUGCGCUUUACGCCCAGUAAUUCCGAACAACGCUAGCUCCCUCCGUAUUACCGCGGCUGCUGGCACGGAGUUAGCCGGAGCUUAUUCUCCCGGUACGGUCAUUAUCAUCCCGGGUAAAAGAGCUUUACAACCCUAAGGCCUUCAUCACUCACGCGGCAUUGCUGGAUCAGGCUUUCGCCCAUUGUCCAAUAUUCCCCACUGCUGCCUCCCGUAGGAGUC
RNAcentral lists this ribosomal RNA (530 nucleotides) under uncultured Citrobacter sp. Its description in RNAcentral is "partial 16S ribosomal RNA". The record is from RNAcentral. Lineage: Bacteria; Pseudomonadati; Pseudomonadota; Gammaproteobacteria; Enterobacterales; Enterobacteriaceae.